CCUGCUUCUCCAGGCUUCCCCUGCUUCUCACAGUGCAGAUACACACUGACACACAUGCAGACACACAGAUCGACACAAUGACAUACGUGCAGAUACAAAGAUAGAAACACUGACACAAAAAUAAACACUGAAGCAGAUGCCCAGAUACACUGAAACACAUACAGUUGUACGGACAGACAGAUCCAAACCAUUACACACUCACAAAGAUACACACACACUAACAAUGACACAUGUAGAUAUACAGGCACACA
Non-coding RNA from Pelobates cultripes (western spadefoot toad), 251 nucleotides. NCBI's taxonomy places the organism in Eukaryota, Metazoa, Chordata, Amphibia, Anura, Pelobatidae. The record is from the annotation of a GenBank genome assembly.